UACGUAGGCAGCGAGCGUUGUUCGGAGUUACUGGGCGUAAAGGGUGUGUAGGCGGUUGUUUAAGUUUGGUGUGAAAUCUCCCGGCUCAACUGGGAGGGUGCGCCGAAUACUGAAUGACUAGAGUGCGGGAGAGGAAAGUGGAAUUCCUGGUGUAGCGGUGAAAUGCGUAGAUAUCAGGAGGAAUACCGGUGGUGUAGACGGCUUUCUGGACCGUAACUGACGCUGAGACACGAAAGCGUGGGUAGCAAACAGG
RNAcentral lists this ribosomal RNA (253 nucleotides) under uncultured bacterium. Its description in RNAcentral is "partial 16S ribosomal RNA". It matches the Rfam family "Bacterial small subunit ribosomal RNA", at positions 524 to 776 of the family's 1533-position model. The record is from RNAcentral.